UACAGAGGUCCCAAGCGUUGUUCGGAUUCACUGGGCGUAAAGGGCGCGUAGGCGGUUGGGUAAGUCUGAUGUGAAAUCUCACAGCUUAACUGUGAAACUGCAUUGGAUACUAUCCGGCUAGAGGAAUGGAGGGGAGACUGGAAUACUUGGUGUAGCAGUGAAAUGCGUAGAUAUCAAGUGGAACACCAGUGGCGAAGGCGAGUCUCUGGACAUUUCCUGACGCUGAGGCACGAAAGCCAGGGGAGCAAACGGG
This 253-nucleotide ribosomal RNA is filed under the name uncultured bacterium. RNAcentral's name for it is "partial 16S ribosomal RNA". It matches the Rfam family "Bacterial small subunit ribosomal RNA", at positions 524 to 776 of the family's 1533-position model. The record is from RNAcentral.